CCAGUUGUUCUGAGUUUCCCAUCAUGCCUUGGGCCAUUAUCUUCCUCACACUUCUGACUUACUGCUCAGGUGUCCGCUCACAGCUCACUCUGACGCAGGUCCCCUCCCAAUCUGUGGCUCUGGGAGGUACCGUGAGAAUCACGAGCACGCUGAGUAGUGCACACCAGAGCUAUGGUGUUGGCUGGUAUCAGCAGAAAGAGGGGCAGCCCCCUCGGAUGGUGCUGGAUUACAGCAGCAACAGAGGCAGCGGGAUCCCAGACCGAUUCUCUGGCUCCAAAUCUGGUGGUGAGCGCUAUUUAACCAUCACGGGUGUCCAGCCAGAGGAUGAGGCCACCUACUACUGUGGCACCAGUGAUAGCAGUGGGUUAGCCACAGUGAUAAAAUCAGAAGGGGAACUGUGA
Molecule: non-coding RNA, 401 nt
Organism: Hemicordylus capensis (graceful crag lizard)
Lineage: Eukaryota; Metazoa; Chordata; Lepidosauria; Squamata; Cordylidae
Source: the annotation of a RefSeq genome assembly